This 25759-nucleotide long non-coding RNA is filed under the name Marmota monax (woodchuck). The record is from RNAcentral. Lineage: Eukaryota; Metazoa; Chordata; Mammalia; Rodentia; Sciuridae.
GGAAGGAGCUGAUACCAGCUGCGUGUUGGAGAAUCCCAUGUCACUUCAGCCUAAUGUGGUGAGAGAUUGUCAACUGCUCCCAAGCAGCAUGGGAGGGGAAGGCAGGAAGACAGAAACGAUCUGAAAUGGCUGCUACCAUCGUCCACAGGCCCCCCUUGUCCUUUACUUACUCAUUAACCGAACAUGUGCUAAGGGCCUGAAGUGUGUCACCUGUACUGGUGCCUAACUUACAAAGGUUGGAGAAAAAGUGGCCUCUGACUUACAGACUCUCGCAGUCUGCCAAGAACUCAGCUCACUGCCAAUUACAUUAACAUAAGCACCCACUGAGGGCCAGGCAACCCCAAGAGGCCCAGGGUAGCCAGAGGAGAUGAUAUUUCAGUUGAACCUUGAAGGAAUACCAGAAUUUCAUUAAGGAGACAAGUGGUUCAGAGAACAACUUCAGCUGUGUCUAAAAGCCUUACUUUCUAGAAUUCCAUCUUCCACAAGGCAUGCCUUCCUAAUCAAUAUUUUAAGAUUUUUUUUAAUUGUUCUGUGACUCCAUGAUGAAGAGUCUAAUGCAUCCUCUUUACUUUAUCUCCAAGUCUUAUUGGUCUUGUUAUGUUUAUGCCAUAAACCUAUCUGAGAAGGGACUAUUUGUCCAGUAUUCUUGCUUUUCUUUGUAGAUCCAAAAGAAUGGGUGAUAUACUGUGGUUGGCAACCCUUCUUUAAUUUUCUAACCAAUCAGGUAAAAUCUGGAGUCAAAUUGCCCUAGACUAGGCAAUGGGGCUUAGAAUGGUGCCAGAUGUUCUUCCUGUCAUACACUGGGAACGUCUGCUGGUAGAGAUCGAGAACUGUCACUUGUGUGUGUCUCUUCACACUCAUGUGCAUGCAGUAUGUGUUACAUAUGUCGUGCAUGUCCAUGUGUUCUGGGGAUACCUCAGUGUCUUAGGAGUUCUACAGUUUUCAUAUUUGAUACAAUCCAUGGUAUCUGCUUGUACUCAAGAAGCCCUGAGGAGUAGAUUUAUUAAUGUAUUCAUUUAUUUAGAAAUGAAGCUAAGCAAUUUCAGUUUAUCCACAUAUUCUAUUGUCUUCUAGGGGACCAUAACCUCAGAACACCUUCAGUUUGUAUCUCACAGCAUUUUACCACUGAGAAGAGGAUGUACGUGGGAUCUUUGUCCCCUUUCUUUUUCUUGGUCUGAAUGGACAUUACAAUUCUUCCUUUAGUGGGAACCAACCCUGCAAAGACUGUUGGUCAUUUCAGAACAACUUCCUGAUCCCUCUCCAAACCAACACCUAGGGCUAGAGCUUGACAUUUAGAGGGCUGGGGGCACUCCUCUAAUCUCUCUGCAAUCUGGUGUCUUCACUGUGGAACCCCAGUAAGGGCUACUCUUUGACUGGUUGUGGGAUGGACAUGUUUGUCCAAAAGGAAGAUGUCCACCUCCACAAUACAAAGAAAUGGAAGCCUGGGACCUGAGCUUUGAAGUCUUAGUACUCAGAUAAAAUAGGUUGCUUAUACUCAGCUUCCUGCUCUACAUCUGUAAAAAGGAAAUAAUAUUCCUCUUCAUGCUCCCUGUACCACCUCAAACCAAUCUCCAAAGAAAUGAGAGAACCUCUUAUUCUAUUCAAAACCUAGAAAUAGCCAUAGCUUCCAUUACAACCCAUUCCUUGCACAGAGGCAGGCAUGGAACGGUAGAAUUGAGAAUGAAUAAAUGAGUGUUUUCAUUAGAAGCUAAUAUAUGGCUAACUGUAUGCCUGUGGACAUAUUUGAUUGGUGAUAUUUGAAGAAUUAUAUAUAUUUAUAAUUUAAAAUAAAUCGAUGUUUUUGAUCAUCACAUGGGGUUGCCACCUAUAGAGGCAGAGAACCUUGAAAUAUAUCUAUGUGGCUACUUUGGAGGCUCUCAGGAUUUGAUGGCAUAAAACUGAAACUUAGGCUAUCAUUACAGAAGGCUAGGGAGGGAGUUCUUUGAUGAAAAAGCAUUUUACAAAGUCAAAAUAAAAUAUUAUUAUUCAUUAAUUAUGACAGCAAAACUGUUGUAACCUGGCCCAGUCAUCUCUUCUUGGGAAAAGCAUUUUGCUUUAGUCUCUGCUUGCUCAUAUAAUGGGGUGUUAACACCUUCCCAACAUACUUCACGGGAAAACCAAACGAGGUUUCUGGUUCUCUGUCUUUCUCUUCUGGAGCAGGCAAAAAUCUCUUCCAUCAUUUGGUCCCUGUGGUAUUUUGAUCAACCUUCCUCUGGAGCCUGGGUUUCCAUUUCUCCCUGGGCUGCUGAUGUUGGCUGGCCUUGUUCCCUCGUUACUAGAGUGUAAGUUACCUUUAUUUACAGGACAGGCUCCUUCCUCUCACUUAGGGAGCAAAGAGCAGAGCUGGAGUCAGCAUACUUGGGAAUACAGAAUCAGAAUGGAAUUCUGCUCUAUAAUCCAGGCAGGCUGUUUCCUCGAGGAUACCACUGUGGGAUGCCUUAUCUGCUGUGUGAAGUGGGGGAAUUAAACAAGAUGGCCUAUGGGGUGUGUCAAGCCCUCAGGGAGCUCGGUGAGCCUUAGGCUUCUUUCCUUCAGUUCUGUGCUGGGACUUCAGUGAAUUGUGAAGAUGAGGAGGAAACCCAAUCUUUCCCUCACCUCCUCUUCUAGUUAAGAAAGAUGGCCCUGCCCUCAGAAUUAUAAUGAAAUCUUAAAAACUGCAAUUUUAUGUGUGGAUAUAAAGUUAUUUUGAAGAUUACAGGCGACAUAAUGCAGAUUUUAUGAAGUUGCCAUUAUCCUUGUCAGUGAAAUUAGUGCAUUUUUCUAAUCGGGAUCUUCUGCCAUUAUAAACAACGUGGAAAUAACUCAUGCUGUUAUAUGAAACAUCUUAUAAAUUUUUACAUACAUGUGAGAGGAAUCACUUGAAAUCCAAAGCUGCCAAGAGGAAUAAUUAGGAGUCACAGAACAGAUCUCAGUAAUGUGACAGCAGCUUCUAAAACAUCCCACAGGACGGAGAAGCACAAGCUGGCUUGACCUAUAUGUUUAAUAAUACAGAUCAUUGCCCUUGGAUUGAAGCUAAAGGGUAGCACCAAGUGCUUGCUUCAUCAUGUUUUAGGAAAAAAAUUGCCCAAGUUUAUUUAUGAAUUCACCACACAAUGGCCUCUUGCUUUGAUUAGGAACCGGCAGAGCUCUCUAAGUAGCAACUCAGCAUGCAAAAUUAAAAACAAAAAAACAAAACCACCACAGAGCAUCAUUUCUUAUAUUCUGUCAUGCUUGGCAAAAGUAUUAUGUAAGGCCCAACUUAGACAAAUGGCUAUGUUAACAGUAGAAAUAACCUUUUGUUUAAUUAGAAAAUAGGAGCUAUAUGGGACAAUAAAAAUGGUUACUGCUGCCCUCCGUCACUGUUUAAUAAAUACGAUCGUGCUAGAGAUAAUGGUAAGUGUUAUUUAUUUGUGCAAUAUCACAGACUUGGUAAUUGUUCACGUUGUUCAGAGUUAUCCUGUGUGGAGAUCACAGGAGUUUCAGAAUUCGUUUCCUUUGAUCCUAGAAAAGAAAAUAGCAAGUUGUUUACUUACAAUGUGCCGGCCUCCCUAGGCCACAGUAUGGUAUCUGUGUAUUUUUAGCCUCUCUAUUGCAAGGGCAAAAAUCUCCCUGGCAUUGUCUGGAGUGUAUUGAGAACUGGUGGGCUAUUUUGAACUGGCUCUUUUUCGUCCAGAGUGCCCUCAGGUCCUUGUGGAACAUCCUUCUCAGAGAUACCGCUCCUGUUCAGUUCAGUUCAGCACAACUAAAUUUAGUAGCCUUGCCGGAGGGAAGAAAUGGGGCAAAGUCUCCCACCUGAGGAUGUGCACAUGGACGAGGAACAUCUCCCUGAUGGUCCCUCUUGGGAGCCAGCACGUGGGAUCAGGACCAGACUGAAGUUCACAGCAUCUGUUUCAGUGUCUUCCCCGGGUGCAGGGGGUUGGGUGGGGAAUAAAGGCUGGAGGUAUUGGCUGGAUCUCAGGGUCAGUUCCAUUUUGUGUCUCACUGUGAACACUCCAGCUGUGUGUCUGGAUGUGGACUUUGGGUCAGCUGGCUAGAUUUAUGUCACUGAAUUGUCCUCCCCGUGGCAGUUCAUUCUGGUUUCUUUUGGGGGUGGGGGUGGUAUUCUGUUUUCACUUGUGCGUGUUUGCUACGGUAGAUGCUCCAUUUCUGCCUUUUGUGGUUUGUCAUGUUGGAUGAUUUACUUUUUAUUAUGGAGACUUAGGGAUUUUUUUCACUCGACUUUGGUGAAUGGGGAGAUAGCGCCUCAGACCCUGAGCUGGCAUUAGGCUCGUCUCAUCCAGAGAAAUCCACAGAAAGGAGAUAUGGCGCAGAUUUGUAUCCAAGUAUUUUGUGCAACCACCUAUUUCUGUGUGUCCUAAAUAGCCCUUUCUAGAAGGUUUCCACAUGCUUCCUUUAUAAAAAUAUAGACAGUGUGUCAAAGGGAAAACACCACACAACAAAAUCCCUUUUCUUCACACAAUUCAUUUUAAGCUCCAAAAUCCCUGAAAAUCCCCAAUCUCCUUUUGCAGUCUGGUUCCCACUCUCUAACUUUCCUCAUCUCCCCCUGAAAGAAAGAAGAAAGCGUUUCUUCCAAGGCUGAUAAGUUGUGGGCCGAUGCUUAGCAACAGCAUUCUUGCGCUUUAAGUAGCUGAAGGCCCUUGCUGAACCCUUUGAUGUGACUGUCAGGGCAGAUUUAUUUUGUUUUAGCACAUUGUCUACUUGUCCAGAUGUAUCAGGAGAUAAAAAGGAGUCAUGUUUACACUCCUCCCUUUUUCUUUUUUUUCGGAGAUGUAAUUAAAUCGUGUUUUUGAUGAGUCUUGGGGAGCUCCAGUUGAAGAAAACAGGAAUUGGCUGGAGUAAAGGGGAAAAUGGAGACUGGCCGGCGGAAUGAACACCUGACUCUGUUAGAAAAUAAAGCCCAAGGACCAGCUGGCUUGGUUCUGGGAAGCUGGAGGUUUUGUUCCAAGCCUUUUGUCCCUCUUCUAUGAAGUUCAACCAAGAAGGGGAGGUGUCCCUGGCCCUAGUUUCUUCUUGCUUACUGUAGGCAGGCUCACACAGGCCUUGGCUCCCUCCUUCCUUCCCUCGUUCCCUGCCUUCCCCUCUCUCUCCAUCCCUCAAUCCCAUGCUCCCUCUUAUUCUGUCAUUUACUGCGGAGAACGUCUGUGAUAGUUGUCAAUCACUCCAGUGAUCUUGAAUCGCCCCGUCUUCCCCGAGGUGAGCUGAGUUCUCUUGCAGUGUGAUUGCUACCCCUUUCCUUUUUUUUUUUAAUUUUUUUUUUUUUUUAUUUUAGUGAGCUGUAUUUUUAACGUAAACAUUUGGCAACACUGUUCCGAGUUCACUUAAUGACCUGUGGGUGAGCAGUGACAAGCAGAAUCCAACGUUCAGUACUGCUGAGGACCUGCCAGGCAGCGGCUACCACGUUAGCUCUCAUCUGCAGCAGGGGAAGCACUCUAUUUGCAUUCUAAAUAGGUUACACUACAGCGCCCCCUUCUGCCCACUAAGGUGUGUGACAGGAGGGUCCGCUAUGCUCAGUUUCUCCCCUGAUGACAGACAUCCCUCAAGACCCUUCAUGCAACUUUCUCGAACCUGCGCAGCCCUUCCCCCUGGUCUCUGCAGAAGUAGGACAGUGACUAACAGGUGUUCCCCGUCUUCUGGGCUCUUCAUUUGGAUUGACAUUUUUAUCACUCAUGCAUCAAAAAUCAUACAUGGAAGAAGAGGGAGAUAUGGGUAUAACAAAAGGAAAGCCACUUGACCCCCAAACCCCAGACAGACGUCACUUAAUGCCAUUGGGAAAUGCAUGCUCAGGUUUUGUGUUAUCGCCCGUGGUCCAUGCCACUGUGCAGGAGGGACAUAUUCCUUUGCUUGCUCUGAACAGCCUGUGGAUGUCCCCCUCUGGCAAAGUGCACCUUUGUCCUCUCACACAUGUGGAGUGGUGGAGUUAGGGGCCCGUGUGUGCCAUUUUUCAACAUCUCCGUGCGCUGUUUGUCGGGGAGAAGGUCCCUUCAGAAGGCAGUGGGUGACUCAGAAGUCUGAAGACACAAAGACUCUUUGUUACCCUCAACCCUCCCUCACAGGCUCAGGAAUGCUGCUCGUUCAGUUUCUCAUUAAUUUAUUUUACCAACUGACAAGUAUUUAUUGAGAAACUACUGCGAGCCAUCUUUCAGGGGGUGUGGGACACUGCCCUCAAGGUACAAACUGUCCCGAGAGGGGAACAUCAUUGGGCAGAAAAUGACAGGGAAGGGAGUUAGGGAGGCAAACUGGAACUCCUGUGUGGAUCAGGCACAGCACCUGGGGGGAGCAGAAAGGUCACUCAUGUGCUGGCAGGCAGGGGAGGAGUGGGGUGGGGGACAAAGCAGGAGAUGGGCAUGAGAGGAAUCAAGGGCCAGGGCAAAGGGCCAUCUUGGCCAUGUUUGGAGGUUUCUGCUCAUCCCCAAAAUGUACCUUAUUUUUCAAGCAGAGGAGAAAUGAAACUGAUUUCAAUUUUUUUUCUUUUCUCCCCUCUCUUUCUCAUACCCAGGGACACUCUACCACUGAGCCACAUCUUUUGCCUUUUUUAUUUUUGUUUGAUUUUUUUUUUAAAUGGUCUCACUAAGUUGUCCAGUCUGGCCUUAAACUUGUAAUCCUCCUGCCUCAACCUCUUAGAUCAUGGAGAUAUCAGGGCUGUGCCACCGUGUCGGCAGAUUUCUGAUUUUAAAAGUGCAAUCUAAGGAUAAUCGUUUCAGGUAGGAUAUUAUGGGGCUGGGCCAGGAAUUGAGCCCUCUCUAGAGCAAAUUCACCACAUUGACUAACAUCUACAGUGAUUCUCUGGUAAAGGAGGGGAGGAGAAGAAAUAGGGCUGAUUUUAGAAAACAUAGUGGAAUUUCCUUCAUACCAGCCAAAGAGAAGGCUCAAUUCCCCAGGGAACCUUUCUCAGGUCCUUUAGCUCUUGGUCCUUUGUGACCACCCAGAUAGUGUGUCUUGAUGGUCUUUCUUGCACCUGUGCCUCUUUCAGCCCCUCUGUGCCCUGGUUGUGAAUGUGCCCUUGCAGGAUAAACCCAGCGGCAGAAGGCAGACCUGAUUUCCAGGGCCAUGUUGACCUUUCAGAAUCUGGGAAUCCUAUGGGUGGGCAAGAGGAGGCCAGGCUUGCAGUACAUCCGGGGACCUUCUGUGUUAUUACUGGUACAAAAUACAGUUGAUGGGGUCAGGGAGAAUGUCGGAAAAUAGUUUUGCGGAUGGGAAGUCUUUUGAAAAAUAACUCCAAACAUCUUCCCCUCUUCUUGUCCCCUCCUGUCUUCUCUCCCCACUGCUUGUCUAUCCUUCUUAAUUUUUGGCCUUGAGACUGUCCUAAGCACUCCAUAUACCCUCCUAGGGAUUCACUGCAGCAAAAUGGUCUGUGCCUUAUUUGAGUCCUUCCAAACCAUAAUGUGUUUGAGGAGUUGAAGAUUUCAGGGCCACGUGGUAGAGUUUCUUGAGGAAAUAAAUAGCUUCGAGUUGAGUUUGCAUUUUCCUCCAGUCUCACAGACAGUAAGGUGGCUAGAAUGGUUGGAAAGGUUGCUCAGGGCACAAGACUUCCUGAAGCUGAUAUUUGGUCACUUCUCUUAUAGUGUGCAUCAGUGUGGAUCUGGAAUCUCUCAAGGAAAUGGCUUUACACAAGUAUGUUGGCUAUAUGCAACCUGUGAUGUCAGCAAUUAUUGAUAAUAUAACACAAAUCUAAAAAGGCCUCUUUUGAGAACUGCUUUGUGAAUGAUUGUUGGAUAAGUUUGAAAAAAGAACAAAAUAAAGGAGAAAAGGUGUUUUGGGGACUAUUUCUCCACACAAGUUUUCAUAAAAUCACUUUCCACCAUUUUUCUUGACUCCAUUUGGCUUUCUCUGUGGAUCUUGUACUAAUAAAAGCAUGAGUAUUGUGAAAAAUUCGUGUUUCAUAAUGUAGGGUCCUUACCUAGAAAAGUCAAAGAUAAAAGUCUAGAUAAAAGCUUAUCUAGAAAAUUUCACAAACUAGGGAUUGACAUUAACUUUACAAAAGAAGACUGAGUGUGUCUGGGACUUGGUGGCUUUAUAACCUCGCCUCAAGUGCGUGCAUACGCACACUGGCAGACCACAGUCCUUCCAGGAUAGUAGGCCUCGGCAUCCAUGCUGCCUGGUUCUUCAGAUUUGCCAUCUUCCUGUAGAUAGCCCAGGGGGCAGCUCGGGUCCAGGAGGGUUUCAGCAGCCUGACGACAUUUGUUCCUCUCCCACUUGGGUUGCCGUAGCAGGUGUUGAGUUGCUAAGCAGAGACUUUUGCCUACCUCCUUUGGGCCUCUAUGGAGAUAUAAACCUCAGGUGUCACAGCCAGCACUGAAUCUGCUGGGAUCCCAUUUUGACAUCCUCACUCACGUGACACAGAUCUUCAGGGAAUCCCUUAAACUGCCCAGGACACAUGGUCCUUGAGUAUGAAGACAGUAACGAAGGUGGGUUUUUGGUUUUGUUAAGGCAAACAUUCUCAGCAUCUCUUUUGGAAAUAGACUUGAGAGGAAGAAGAGGGGCUGAGUGGCAGCAAAGUGCCUUUGGAAAACAAGAGACAUUAGAAUUCAUAUCCCCAGACAUCUGAGGUUUACAUAGAUCAUGAUCAGAACUUCUUAGGAUGUUGUUCCCAGAGGAGUGGCUCGUGCUGUUCCUUGGAACCAGUCACCUGUUCUCUUGUGGUGUUAUCAGUCCCAUGUGCAGUCGAAAUGGCAAAUGCAGUCUCCCUCAGAGACAGACGCCAGUCACCGCUCUAUGCAGGCUCGUUAAUAACUAAAAAUGCUAUGUAAUUCCUGACUUGUGCAAGAAACAUGAAACUGGGUCUCACUUUCUCCUGUUGACACGCGUGUGGAGGUGGGUUGGGCGUCGUCAUUCCAAAGGUCUAUUGUGAUGUCUGCUGGCUUCGUUUUUAUUUUGUGGUUUCUCUUUUCCAUGUUGCACUGUGACCCCAGCAGCUGUCCUUGCCUGUCACCACUCUUGUUGCUCUCUUUGGACACCUGUUACUAUUUUUAAUCUUCUGUGAUACCUAAGCUUAUUAAAAAUGUAAUUGUAUGCUAGAGCUGUUUGGGUCCCAGCUAAGAGCCUGAAAAGUGUAAGAUACUCACAAGAAUUUGGGGGGGGGAGGAUUUUUCUGGAUGUGGAGACUCUUUGUUGAUGAGGAUAUAGACUUGGGACUGGGCUGUUGAAUAGCAGGUUCACUGUGGCUCCGGAGAUGGUGCUGAGAGUCAGGAUGUCUGGGAUGGAGCUAGGGGCUCCAAAAGUCUGAUAAAAAUUGUUGUCUGCUAAUGAAGGGAAUUUUCUCUUUGGGUCUCUUUAGUGUCCAUUCCACUGGGCCUUAGAGUAGAUACAUGUACCCCCUGGGAAAUUGUUACCCUGUUGCUUUUGUCAGCAGGAUCUUUGAGGUACCAGCUACUCUCCUGGCACUAGGUGUAGACAUAGUACCCAGGAUCAACUGGACAGAACAUUCUUUUUCCUUGAUAGGGAGACUCUUUCAGGGAUGGGCCUAUGACUCGGUCCAGGCCAAGGAUUCCUAGACUUUGCUAGAAAGUUUCAGGAAAGAGAAGGAUCUUUGAUGAUAGUAACACAAGAAUCUGGAACUCCUGGAGGUCACCACAUUAAAGAUUUACAAAGAAACAAAGCUAAGAGAGAGAAACUCCUGAUAAUAAAUUUGAGUACCCGGAUCCAACCAUACCUGAAACUGUAUAGUCUUGGACUCAUUAAAACUUCUCCCUCUCAAUUUAUUUCCCUAAAGUACUUUGAAUUAAAUUUUAUUACAUACAAUUAAAAGGAAAAGUUGGGUCUUUUUCCCCUCUCGAAUUGUUCAAAAAGGGGCCUUCUACAAACUAUCCUAAAAAUGUGGUAAAUGGUCCCCGUAGCAUCCGAUCAAUAGUUCUUAGUUAUGUUUUUCUUUAAUUUUAUUUUCUAACAAUCUAUUAUGUGAGUAGCAAACUAAUUCCACCCCCCCCCCCAUAUAAAACCCUUAAAAUCCUCAAGAACCUAACUGAUUGGCCUUCUCUUUAUCAAGACACCUUCAUGUGCAUGACCAUUGAUGGUCCCUUCAGCCUUUGUGUUAAGUAUUUCUUUGAGUCAGUCCUGCUGUCUGGUCUUUAAAGACUGAGAUGGCUGGUGAUGGCCCUGACCAGUGAGCCGCACUGCUGCUUUUCACCUACCUUCAGGAAAAACCCCUCUGGCUUUUCCCAAAACCCCUUUCACAGAGAUGAGUAAGUACCGUUAUUCCAGAACUGGAGAAGAUUCCAGUAGAAGUGGCCAGUGGAAACCCGGGCCCCUGUCUGCAGUCGCCUUUGGUCUGUACCAGAGAGUGGAGCUGCUGUGACUCAUCUCCCUACAGCUCUCCCCCCGCCCCACCCCGGCCCCACCAGGGAUGAAAGACCACACUGAGCAUCUUGCUCUCCUCAUUCUCUUCUUCCUACCCCCUAUCCCCACAGCUGUCUGAAUCUCCAAGUGACUGCGCCAGUGAAGACAUAGGAAGGGAAAACAUAUAUAAUUUUGGAGUCAGUUGGCCUGGCGGAUGUACACAUUGGCAGUUAGAGAAGCUAGUGUGUGCCUUCUCUGCCAUCUCAAGCUCCGCAGCCCAACAAAUCAAUUCAGCCUUCAGAGCCGCAUCCAUUGCUUUGUGAUUAUGUUUGUGUAAAGUCUUGGGGUCUUUGAUCAAAGAAUGGCAUUUCAGGCCAGGCCCUAAUCCUUAGUGCCUUAAGAUGUUUAAAUGGGUUUAAAAAAAAAAGUUGAUAACAGCUGGGAUUUAAAUUUGCCUUUGCCCAGCUUUUGUUUUGAAAGGGCUUCUAUUAUCCGUGGCUUCCCUUUUGGAGGCAAAGAUGGAUCGUUGGGUAAACCGAAAAGGGAAAGAGGAUAUGGGAGGAAAUGGGCGGAGACUCUGAAUUAAUCUUCUGGGGAAGAAUGUUUGAUCAGCGGGGAGGAUGGAAACCUUGGAUGCUGACAGCAGGCACCUUUCUGACAGGGUGUGAUUGGCACCUUUGAAGCUUCGGUGGGAGCCAGUGUCCAGUGGGUGGGAGCUUCCUCUGUCUGUGGGUGGUGGUGUUAAUAAUGUGGCAACUGGAAGGAUUAAUUGCGGACAAGCAGCGGGAUUAUGAGGAGGGCUCCUGAGCUCUAAAGGAACAGUUCGAGGCAAGCCUCUGAUCUGUCAGCCUUAGAGGAAAUUAGUGGGAGCAGGCUUAGGGGGAAAAAAAGGCAUUUAGGAUAUUAAAGCGAAAUGUAAAGAGGAUAUUGAAAUAGGGCGAAAGGGCAAGGAGCGCUGAUCUCAAAAGGCAGCAUCCCCUCUUCCUACCAGGAAUCUGUGAGGUUCCUCCAGACUUCACGGACACCUUUUCACGGUCCAACUGAGUGAUUUUUUUUUUUCGAGUCUUGCAACAAGUUAGGAGGGAAGGGUUAGGCUGGGCUCUCAGUGGUACCCAAGUUCACGUGAGAAACUUGCCUCCUUUGCACUGCCUGGUGGUUUCAGAAUGUCCCGAGACUCAGGCUCCUGGUAGAAUUUUAAACCAAGUCAGAGCAUUACUGACACCCUAUCUGCAUUAGCUAUCUAUUGUAUAUUUUACUUCUUACCCUUCUGGUUCAAGUCGGGAUGUUGCCAAUAAAUCCUGUGUUACCAUUAAAGAGGCCAUUCAUCACACUUCCUAAUGUGAUUAAUCAAGAUACACCACAGUACCCUUAAAAUGAGAUCAUUUUGAUAAAUCAUGUAUGACAUGAAAAGACUUUAUUCCUUUUAAGUGCAAUUUAGACUGUAAUUUUUUUCCUCAUUUAUGAUUCAUGGGAGAAACAUGGAUAAAAUUCCCUUGCACAGUUACACCUUAUCUACAGCAAUAACUCAAAACUGCUUUUAGAUGAAAAUUCAGGGUCUUAUUCACCAAAGCUGAAUGCCAGCUCAUUAUUUUCUAUCGUUCGGUAGUCCAAAAAUAAUGUCCGCACAUUAAGCGGCAUUCUCCAAAAGUUGGAAUUGGCCAGGAACCAGGCACAUCAAUUACACUCCAUAAUCCUUAAUAAGGAAGCAAUAUCAGAUGUCCUCUUGGAGGCUUUUUCUUUUUUUUUUUUUUCUUUUCUUUUUUUUGAAUCAGUGACGCUCAGCCUUCACCUCCCUGACUUAGCAUGAUUUAGAAACAAAAAUUGGAGGAACAUUAAUGUAUGAGAAUUUCAGUUGCUUUUACCUGACUCUGCUCUUGUUGCACAAGCCUCAAAAGAGGUAGGUUCCCCCUCCCGCAGGGUCUGAACUUUCUUUCCCAUUUCCCCUUUUCCUCGUUUCGCCAAAGAAACUCCCAUUUCGCUCCAUCUGAGUUUCGUUUCUUAGCCGUCGUGUCUGUGAUGCGGGUACAGCUGUCACAAUAAUUUGGGAAAUGAUAUUCAUAACCUCCAAUAGAAAAAUAAUUUGAAAAUGUGCCUUCUGGUGAGAUCCAUCAAGUUUAAGGUCACAUUUUUGGUUAAAAGGCAGACACUGAUGCUAUUCAUUAAACUGAAAAAUGGCUUGUUUUCCACUAAUAUUGAAAUAAACUCUGGAUGAAUGUUAAGUCAUGCUGGCAUGCACUUAUAUAGAAAGCAAAAGGAAAACACAGAUAUAUUUAAUUUGGACAUGUAAAGUCAACCGAGUUUCAGGUCUUAUUUGAGACAGAGGAAUUGGGAAGAAUGGCCAAAACAAAUGUGAACAGUUAGAAGUUCAUUUGCCUUUUUUUCAGAGACUGAGAGCAUUUAAAGGAGGAUUCUAAGAAUUCUUAGACCCAUUUGUGGUUUUUCAAACACUGGUACCUACGAACAAGGACUUGACAGCAUGUAAUUUAUUCCCCAGCCCCCUGUUCCUUGGGAUUUAUAUGAAGAAGUAAAUCAAAAUCCAGUAUUUGACUCUGUGUUUAAGUAACCCCAUAACGCACAUAUCCUAUCCCACAUAACACAGCAAACAUGAACAAAACCCAAGUUUAUUUGGGUUGUCAUAUUAUGCUGAUGGUCUCUAUACCUUGAUCAUAUAGAUAGAAACUGAAAUCAAAGAUUCCUUGCACAUUAUUCACAUUUAAAUGGGAUUUCCCAUGGCUUUAUUUUUUCUCAUAUAAUGAGUGAAUGAAGAAUAUGAGGCCAUUAGGGCUGCCCUCACCUUGUUUAGGUUUCCAAUUCACAUUUAUGACUUUCUAUUUUCACUGUGAAAGAUCUGUAAAUUGGAAAGGUAUGCAUGUAUCUCAUUAAAAAAAAAAAAAAAAGUUCCCCAGCUCUAGCAACACUCAGCAAACCUCCAAAGAAUGCAAGUUUGGAACAUAAAUAUUUUAAGGCCCCAUAAAUUUGGCAGUGAAUGCUUUUCUCUCCUUUAAUACCAUGUUUGUUUCAUUCCAAUCUACUGCCACAAUUAUAUUUUCCAAAAUGGUUUUUAAUACAAUACACAAUUAUUUCAUACAAGGUUGGGCUGGUCGCCUCAUUAAGUCUGCUAAGAUCAGACCUCUUGUGACCCCACAGAUAUUCUUAUACUUAUUCCUAAUUAAAAUGGCCUCCUAAAUUGUCCUAAGUUCAUCACUGCAAAUAACAAGCUACGCAGAAGAGGCACAGUUGGAGAGUUAGUGGGGAUAGAUGACCUGGUCCCCAAACCUCAAGCUGGGCCAGCUGUGGUGUGAACACAGUAGUGUUCUGCCACCUGUUGGCUCUGCUUACACAUAACAAGGUAUUGAUGUCCCUCACAGCAGUGCAGUAACCCUCUCUGACCCCUGUCCCAGUUCAUCACCCCCAAGAGAAAAGAAGAGGCCUCUGAGGAUUCCAGGCCUCCCGACUUUCCCAUCAUUCAUUGCCUUGGCCACAUGUUUCUUCUGCUAAUGUUAAAAAUUUAUGGCUGAGCACAUUAAGGGCAGCGCUAGUCUUUCCCUUCUCCUGGAUUAUUUCAGUGUUUCCUGUCAUAAGGAAAUCCAAGAAGACAUGUCCUCCGUGGAUUGUGUGUGACAGUAUCUGCUUAUAUCUCAGGAAUCUGAGGCAUGAUGGAUAAACUGUCAGUUUUGAAGGAUGAUGUUUUCUCCAUAUUUCCAUUAUGAACCAGGCUGUCAUCUCCUAAUAAAUUUCUUGCAUUGGUAUCAAUUUAUUUUUACAAGCAGAGGGUCUGAUGUAUUUGGGAAAGGCAAUGACAGCAGAUCUGGCCCAGCUUGACAGAGCUGGCUUCACCUCAUUUUGGAAAACUACUUUGGUUCCAAGGACAGAACUUGACCUGCAGCCCUUUAGAAUAAAAAAAAACGCUGUGAGAGGAAGAGAGACACAUGAGGCAAGUUCCUUCUUUUAAGCCAAAAUAAAUCAAGCCUCUAGGACUACCAUGACAUAAUAUUAUUUCUAAGACAGUCCUACAAAUCCAGAUGAGAAACGCCAUAUGUAGCUCUUUACUGAAGACACAAUAACACAGUGAAUCUGCAUGAGUCCUGAUUAUGACAGGGUUACAGAUAUCACCACUUUUGCUCUCCAAAGGAUCUUAGUGCUCUUGUGCUCAACAAGUGAUAAGCGAAGUCCAUACAUGUCAUAAACACUUAAUUACAAAGUGUGUGCAUGUCCGUGCUGUGGUUUUCUCUGAAUGGUGGAAAGCUAUACAGCUUGAGUCUACGUCCUGAAAAAUUCAAAGUCUAAUUGAAGAGAUAAAGUGCUAUACAAAAUUAGACCAAAGUACAAAGAAAAAUCAUAUGCACUGUUUAAUGAGCACUAGUUAAGACCAUUGUUUCUUAUUUUAUUUAACCUUGACCUUUAUUGGGAAGAGAAGAAAUAGAGCAUCUCAGUAGUGAAGUCAGUGGCCACUGGCGGCACACUGCCUGAAUUCGUGGCCCAAUUGUGCCAUGUACCAGUGACCCGAGAACCUAAGUGAGAUCUGUCAGAUUUCUUAAAUUUACCAACCCUCUGUUUCCCCAUCUAUGAAACCAAAUUGGGGACUAUAACUCCUUUGUGGUGGUUUUGUGAGGAUUGAAUAAAUUAGUACUUGGAAAUUGGUUAAUAUAGUCCAAGAUCCAAGGUAAACUCUCAUUGAGGGUUAGCUAACUUCAGUCACCCUCCUCCUCCCAACUCCUAUUAUCAUUACAUUUUACAGCCAAAAAAGGUGAGGCUUUAAGAAUUUAAGUCUACAGCCCAUCACACAGUCAGAGGGCCCCUGCUGCAAAUCUUGGUCAGUAAGGCAUCAGAGCAGAGAAGAGGGAGGACCAAGUUCAAGUUGUGGACAAGUCAAGGACAGAAUUCUGGAAGCCUAAGGAGUUUUUCCUUACCAUGCUCUCCAUUCCUGGCCCUUUUCUCCAUGGCUCCAAACAUGUGUCACAUGUUACUUGACAAGGGUCAUAUGUAGUGGUGUAAGUGUACUGGUAAAUGUUUGGCAUUCAGGGCCUGGGGACGGGGAGUAUAUGCAUAUAUAAUAUUAGCACAUAAAUGUAUUGUAAUUUUUAUUCUAUAAAGAAUAUGUAGAAUAGGAUUGACAAAAGUCAAAUAUAUAAUACUGUAUUAUAACGUCUAUACAACCAUUUAAUUCUAGAAGCUAUUUAAAUUUUUUUUAUUCUAAUUAGUUAUACAUGACAGUAGGAUGCAUUUUGACACAUCACACAUAAAUGGAGUAUAACUUCUCCUUCUUCUGGUUGUACAUGAUGUAGUAUUACACAGGUCAUGUAUCAUAUAUACACAAAGAGUAAUAAUGUCCAAUUCAUUUACUAUCGUUCCUACCCCUAUACCCUCAUCUCUGCCUUCACUGCCCUCUUUCUAAUUCGGAGUACCUCUAUUCCCACCCCCUUAUUGUAAAUUAGCAUCUGCAGAUAAGAGAAAACACUUAGCUUUUGUUUCUUUGGAAUUGGCUUAUUUUGCUUAGCAUGACAUUCUCUAGUUUCAUCCAUUUACCAGCAAAUGCCAUAAUUUAAUUCUUCUUUAAGGCCGAGUAAUAUUCCAUUGUGCAUACAUACCACAAUUUCUUUAUUCAUUCAUCAGUUGAAGGGCACCCAGGUUGGUUUUAUAGUUUAGCUAUUGUGAAUUGAGCUGCUAUAAACAUUGAUGUGGCUGCAUCACUGUAGUAUGCUUACAGCUACUACAGGGACUUUGGCCAAACUCUUCAAUUUAUAUCUAUAGUUACAGUAUAAUUGAUGAACAAAUGUAAUUCUAACAGCAAUUCAGGUUGAUAUUUUUUCUUUUAUCUUAAUGAGUACAUCAGAGCUUCACUUAUUUGUCAAUACUACAAACAACUGCUUCAGUCAGUCAGCUAAUAAUAGUUUUUGAGUACUGGAAAAAUAUUUUCUCUGCUAUUCACAAUUAAUGGCUAUAGAUAUAACAUCCUAUUCAGCUAAGUCUGCAUCAUUAAUAUUUUUUUUCAUUACUAUUUUUAAACUUUCUUUUGUUUUGUGGUGUUGGAGAUUACAUCCAGGGCCUCAUGCAUGCUAGGUAAGCAAUCUACCACUGAGCUACAACCUGAAGUCCUUCAUUCAUUUACUUAUUUGUUUAAUCUUGGACAAGUUCUCACUGAGUUGCGCAGGCUGCCUUGAACUUGUGGUCUUCCUGCAUAGCUGGUAUUACAUACAGGCUUGCACUGGCCAGGCUUCUCCAUUACUUUCUUAAGUAUAGGAAAUAAACAAACCAAUAAAUCAAGACCUAAUUAUUGUAUAAUUUUCUGCUGCAGAUACUCCCACAGUGACUGAUGUGAAGCUAUCACAGUGGUAUCAUUGAAGUGUUGGAGAGAGAGAGUAUAUCAUUUUAUAGUAUUUCCACCAUAUAGGUACCAAAGACUCAAAGCAUAAAUAAUAGUGAAUUUUUGUAAAAGAACUAGUGAUAAGUUUUUGUGUAUGUUAUCUUGCUUUUAACAUAAUUUAUUCAAUUCUGAGCAUAUACAGCUUAAUUUUAAGUGGUGUCUGUGUUUAAAAACUGGCUUACAAAAUUCCUGAAAAGUUAAUCGUUGGAUAUUUUGAGCAAUUACAUGUUGAUUCUAGCACAUUCCAGUUAUAUGAACCCCCAAACCAAGGAUAUCAAAAGCACUUAUGUCUACAUUACAUAGCUCAUUAUUUUAUUUAUUAAUAAAUAGGUGGACAGUUUUGUUAUAUACUAGAACACAAAACACAUUGAGUCUUAACAUGAAUGGAAUCAUAUCUCUCUACAAACAUAUUGCCUUCCUUUAUAUGGAUACUAAAUAAAUCCAUAAGGGUUUUCUUUGCUAGGUUUAUUUGAGCAUCAUAUUUAUCGUAGAAUGGUUGGAAUUCAAGCUAUGAAAUCAAAUUGUGUCAUUCUGAAUUCCAAAUUUUUCACAUACUUGGUGCUGUUGGAUAAGUUAUAUAACCUCUCUCUAAAUCUCAGUCAUCUUAUCUGUGAAAUGGUAAUUGUAACGGUACUUGCAUUAUAAGAUAGUUGAGAGGGCUAAAUGAAGCAGUGUAUGUCAAAUGCCUGCAUGUUAAUUAAUGUUCAAGAAAUGUGAUGCACACAUGCAGAUUGCUUGGAGGUUAUAAUAUAUUACAUUCUGAUUAUGUUCUAUGUUUGAACAUAUUAUCCAAACUAAAUCCUUAGUGGAAAUUAAUUAGCAGCAAUAUUGGUUCGUGCUUAAUCAUACAUCUUUGGAUAAAGAUGAUUGUUUCUAGCUGGGCAUGGUGGCGCACGCCUGUUAAUCCUAGCAGCUAGAGAGGCUGAGGCUAGAGGAUCCCAAGUUCAAAGCCAGACUCAGCAACUUAGCAAGGUCCUAAACAACUUAGCAAGAUCCUGUUUCAGAAUUAAAAACUGAAAAAAAAAAAUUAAGUGCGCAUGUGGCUCAGUGGUUAGGCACUGCUGAGUUUAAUCCCUGGUUUGUGUGUGCGUGUGUGUGUGUAUGUGUGUAUAUUUCAAUCUCUUACACACAUGAGAUUGUUUCUGAAUGGAGUGUUCUGCCUUUAUUUAAAUUACCUAUAUAAUGGGUAGAUUUCUUCUUAUUGACAGACUUUUCCCAUUACUUUCAGAAGUUGCUUUGCUAGAUGCUGUUAGGUAUUCACUGUUAAUUUAGGAUUAGCCCCUAACAUCUUGAAGUCUACAGUUCUGAUGAGGGACCAGAGGAGCCCAGCUGACAGUAUUGUGAGGCAGAGUGGAGUAAUGCCAGGAGAGGGCGAUUAUGAGAUCCUGGGGGCUCUGAUGCAGAGAAGAUGGGGCGCUGGGGAAGCACCUUGGGCUCCAGGGUCAGGGUGAGUUGGUCUCUAUUCACAGAGUUUUAGAACUGAACAUCUCUUAUACGUUAGAAAACCGUUAGCACUUAGCACAUAUUCAGGAGAUACUAACUCCAGUCUCCUACUUUGUUUCCUUUCUUUCCUGUUUCCUUUUCUUUUCUCCUUGACUCCUAAUGUUCCUCUCUCCUUCCAACUCUCCUCAGCUUCUGAUGAGAGAGACUGGAGAGGUCCUUGAGGGAAAUUGUGUUGUUUCCUAUCAGCCCUGUUAUAUAAGUACAAAUUUAAUUUUUAAUAUUUUAAAUUGUAAGAAGCAGGGACAUACUACAUGUUAAAAAAGUUUAAAAAAAAAAACUUAAUCUAACAUUCCUAUCAAACAUCUUUUUAUCUUUGUUUAACUUCAGUGGAUUGCAAAUUUUAUAUGAUUAAAAAUCACAAUAAUGUGAUUUUAAUAUUUACUGUGUUCACUUAAAAUUAUGUAAGAAACACUUUUGCACAUUUUUUUUCUUGCCUUCAUAGUUAUAGUUUUGUUUACCUAAGAAAAUUUGAUAAUUACUGUAAUGUCCAAUAUGUAGAUUCUUUUCAUUUUUUUCCGUUAUAUAAGUAUCUGCUAAGUACCUUUUGGAAGCCGCUGCAUUGUACGUAGUUCUUUUACUUCUCUCACAGCACAAGAUUGAUUGAGUAAUAGCCCACGGAAUGCCCAAACCACAGUCUUUCUUUCCUUUUUCCUUUCCUGUUUCUUUUCCUUCCUCCCCCUCUUUCUUCCUGUCUCCUGGCCUUACAUAAAUAUUUGUGAACUACUAACUCUGAGCUGGUUGCCCAUUUGGGCACUGGAAGAGUUGGGUCCCCUAUAGUUCAGACAAAAACAAAUGAAAAACUUCAGGCUAUUGCCUUCAAAAGGCUUUCUUAUGCCAGACAGGCCUUUGGCACAACCUGCUGCAUCUCUGACUGACUUCUGACUUCUCUUCCUCUUCACCGUCCUCAAUCAGCUUAACCCAUGGAGUCCCAAGUUUUCAAUUCUAUGUAAGAGGAUGGAUUAAACAUUCAGCUUGGACUAGGCUCUUCUUUCUGCCCUCCUGGGCCUCUUGGUUAUGAAUUUACCCUCAUUUCUACUUUGCCUCUUUCCUCCUCCCAAUUUCUUGGCUUCUGUCCCUGGACAAGAUGUCUGUUCCUGCUUCCAAGUCUGUCUGUCAUUCCCAGCCCAGUCUAUCUGCCAUUGGCACUUUCCAUCUUGCUUCACACUCAAGGCCUGGAGCCUUCAUCUGUGAGCUGGGCAGGAAGCCUCAGCCCUCAGGCUGGCUCUUAGCUUCCCUCACCCAAUCCUGCAGGCGAUGGCAAGUCUUUAUCCUCCUAUUCUGAAAAGUUGGCUCAUUGCUUUAGUUGAAUUAGAAUAAUGAGUAUAUCAUUUUAUCUUUGACUUUAAAAUGUUUUAUUCCUUCCAUCAUCAUGCAUUGACUUCCCCUCUCUCUUUCUGGUAGUAGUUGGGUGUGAGUGUUAAUAGUAGAGUUUAUUUCAGAAAGUUCACGUAGUUAAUUUAGAAAACUCUCCACUAGAAUGGAUGAGAAACAAGUAAGAGCAUGACUACUGUGACAGGUGUUCAGGUGUCAUAACCAGGGGCAGGGGCAAUGUUCUGUGUGAAUUCAGAGGAUGAGAUUCAUUCAGAAGAUGAGGUUGGUGACUCUUCAUAACAAUUAUUGAUCCUGGUGUGAUUUUUUUUUGAUGCAUCAAGAAUGCAACCAAGGUCCUUCUUUUAUUUUUCAUGAUAUUUUCAGCAUGAGGUCUGGCAUAUAGUAGGUGGUUACUAAACACUUGAUAAAUAAUGAGUGAUGUUUUUCCUUAUGAGAGAAAAAUAAAUGUUUUUAGAAGAGUCAGCUUUAUACCAUGGUUUCAGGGAAUGAAUUGUGAUGAAAAGUGAAGAUUGCUUUUACUUGAAAGAGGCUGACAAAUUUCCCAGACCCGGGAUCACUUUAUGCGGCGUAUGAUUUAAGGGUGAGUGAGCGUGCCAAAGCGCUCCACUUGAGCUGAGUGAUGGGGAAUGAGUUGUGGAGCUGUGGUCUUAGAUGGUAUUUUGUGAAAAAUAGUGGGAGAUUUAUGGCUAUUAAACAACUUUGUAGCUGCCCCCUUCUUGUUUUGAAGCCUGCCAAAUCUCUCCUCCCAUGGUCUAUAUCAUGUUCCUUCAGCACAUCCAUGAUGUCCACACAACAUCCUCUGGACUGCAGUUUUCAUUGUGUGCACCCGUUUUGAAGGGCUGGGAAGGGCUUGGAAUUGCAUGCAUUUAUCUGAAGACAUUUGUUUUCUGUAAUCGCCGGUGACAUGCUCACUUUGCAAGUCUCUCUUGGAGCAUCCUGUGUUUUCACAGAAUCCUUCCCAGUGAGGUUGCCAAAAGUUCUCCCGUCCUUCCUGCAUUAUGGAAAUUGCAGAGUGCAGUCUAUUAGGGACUAUUACUAUUAUUGAUGUGAGACUAAAGAAAGUAUUAGUAACUCUUCAAUUCAGUGUAUAUCUUCCACUGUGAACAGGAGAAGAAUGAAAAUGCUGUCAAUACGCCUUGGCAGAUCUUCAGCAGGAGGGCUUGUGAGGCAGGAGGGCUACUUCAAGCCUGGGCACCGAGGGGACACACAUUUAUCAUCCUCAGCUUUGUUCCAUCUUACAUGUCACAAUCAGCAGCUCAAGGAAAAGCAGAAAUAGGGUAUUUCAUCUAAAAAAUCCAACCAGAGAUGGCUUUCAGUCUAUGUUACACAACUACUAGACAAUGGUUGGAGGAAAUAUGCUGUCAGUAUGGGUUCGUGUUUCCAUAGGAAUGCAUGCAUCCGAGGAGAAAUGGAGUUAUUGUGUUUUCAAAUUUCAUAUUUCAAGGAAUUUUGAAAACUAGGGAAGAUUAAAAAUUAUGAGCACAGAAGUAUAAGCUAAAGCAAUGGGCACGUUGUGAAGAAAACUUAAGAUGAGAAAAACUUGCUGUAGAAGAAGAUCUAGGUGAAGGUCAUCUAGGUAAUGGUAUCUGGUACCUGGGGAAGUAGUAAUGUCAUCUUAAUACAAAGAGACACUUCUUUACAUGCUGUUAAAUUAAAUGAGAAACUUAAUAGAGUUUUUUUUUUAAAUGAACACACAUAGCUACCAUAUCAAAUUUGUAGUUUCUAACAUUUUGAUGUCAUUGUUUCAAGAAUAUUCUUUAAAUGAAUAAAACCAGAAACCAUCAUAUAUAGAAAUGAAACUCCUCCACAUCCCAUUAGCCCCAGUCCUGUUACCCUGCCCAAUCAUUUACAUGAAUUUAGUGUCUGUUUUAUAAUUUUUGGAUGUUUCCAUACAUGUACAAAAUCAAAGAACUUCAUAUUUACAUAAAUAAUAUUAUACUGAAUUUAUCAUUUGGAAACUUAAAAUUAUGUAAGAUGUACUUGAUAAAUAACGACUGAUGCUUUUUUUAAAUUUUUUAUUGUUGGUUGUUCAAAACAUUACAAAUUUCUUGAUAUAUCAUAUUUCACACUUUGAUUCAAGUGGGUUAUGAACUCCCAUUUUUACCCCAUAUACAGAUUGCAGAAUUACAUCAGUUACACAUCCAUUGAUUUACAUAUUGCCAUCCUAGUGUCUGUUGUGUUCUGCUGCCUUUCCUAUCCUCUACUAUCCCCCCUCCCCUCGCUUCCCUCCCCUCCCCUCCCCUCUUCUCUCUCUACCCCCUCUACUGUCAUUCAUUUCUCCCCCUUGUAUUAUUUUUCCCUUUCCCCUCACUUCCUCUUGUAUGUACUUUUGUAUAACCCUGAGGGUCUCUUCCAUUUCCAUGCAAUUUCCCUUCUCUCUCCUUUUCCCUCCCACCUCUCAUCCCUAUUUAAUGUUAAUCUUCUUCUCCUGCUCUUCGUCCCUACUCUGUUCUUAGUUACUCUCCUUAUAUCAAAGAAGACAUUUGGCAUUUGUUUUUUAGGGAUUGGCUAGCCUCACUUAGNUGAUUGGGUUGUUUGUUUUCUUAUUGUCUAAUUUUUUGAGUUCUUUGUAUACUCUGGAUAUUAGGGCUCUAUCUGAAGUGUGAGGAGUAAAGAUUUGUUCCCAGGGUGUAGGCUCCCGACUGAUGCUUUUUUUACUCUUUAUAAAUUUUGCAUUUUUACUCUUUAUAAAUUUUAGACCUCUUCAAAAUGAGAUGAUAUAUUUCAAUAUAGAUAUAUCAAGUUAUUGCUCUUAAAUGGUAAAUAUUAUUCUGCCAUAUGAAUAUACAACAUUUUAUCUAUCCUUUUUCCUUACUGACAUUUAAGUUAUUUCCACUUUUUUUUUCCCUGUUACCAAUGAUGCUUCAGUAAACAUAGUAAACUUGCAGACCUGUGUGAAAUUCUCCAAGUGGAAUCAGUGCACCAAUUUUCAGUUUUAUUAGAUGCAGCUAAACUACCCUCCAAAGUAGUGAACCAGGGUACAUUCCUACUGGCAAGGGAUGAGAGGGACAGUUUAAUUUUCUUUCAUUCUCACUAGCACUUGUUGUUAUGGGACUUAAAACUUGGCCAAUAGGAUCAGUGGAAAAACUGUACCCUGUUUUAAUUCUCAUUGCCUUUAGUGCUGGCAAAUUUGAGCAAAUUCUAUGUUUAUUAUCUGUUCAGGUUUUCUCUUCUUUGAAAUCCCUGACAUUUCCUUUGUCCAUUUUUUUUUCCUAUUUUUAUUGGCUUAGGGACAUUCUUUAUGUAUCCUGGAUACUAGUAUUUUAUUGUAAAUGUGGCAAAUAUCUUCUAACAGGAGAUAAAAGUAAAAUGUAAAAAUACAAAUCCCUGCCAAUAGGCAGUUAGGAAAAUUGGCAAGGAUUCAAAGAUUUGAGAACCUUUAUAGUCCUGAAGAUUCAGAGCUGCCCCAAUUUUCUUAUUCUCAUUUUAGGCAUCUCUUCUUAGUCCAGGUAAAAUAAAACAUCAUGUCCAUUUUUCUACUUAUGCUUUUAUUAUCUCAAACUCAAUAUACUGUGGGUAUACUGCUUCGGUUGCAAAGUCAACUCUUUAUGCUUUGGCAGACAGUGUGCAAAUUUAAGACGCGUUCUUGUCCACUUCUUUCAUAUGAUAAUUUUGCCUUUUUGAAUCGUGCUUCUAAGCAUAAGAUUCAGAAAACCAGUGUGAACAUCACUAUUGAAAUGAGUGAAUAGGAUUCGUUUUGAUAAAAGCCAGGUCACAGAGUUGGUGGUUGGAACUGAUUUGUAGUUGUUUUUCUAAACAUUGAGUCAUGAAAGUUCCACCAGAAAGCAUCGCUUGCAGAAUUAUUCUUUUCCUGAAUUCUUUUCCAUGACUUGAGCUUAUAAAUGGACACUAAGCCGAAGAAGAAUUAAGUGCUGGGCAUAGAAUGAUGACCACACAACCCAAGCCACACCAUUUCUGACCUGUUGACAGUUGGAAAUAAAACUAAAUAGCUCUUUUUUUUUCUCUUGGUCACAGAAUUCUAAUGUUUUGCACAGUCCAAGGUAUUUAUUUAGAGGUAGGAUUUCCUCCACUAAUUUUGGGAAAAGCUGUCAUCAAGUUGUCAACAGCCCACAUAGAGAUUAAAAGUACUAAAGAAUACCAUAAUAGAGCAACUUAAAACUUAUUUUGGAUUUUAGGAUUUUUUUUUCCUUUCAAUAAUGAGGUAGAACAUGGACAAAAAGUUAGAGCCUGUUAUAGAGGAAGUAUGUAUAUCUAGGUAAGGAUGGUCUCCAUUCCAGGACCCCGUAUAUCCUGCCCUAAGCAUUAAAUAAGUACCGUAGUAUUUAGAGCACUGUCAUUAUAUUUCAUUAAUCAUGUUGCAAUUACAGAAGAUCUGGAAUCCCAAAGAGACAAGUGGUGAUUAUAGUAUUUUAACUUUAAUUUUAAUCCCACUUCUGACCCUUUCACAUUCUUGCAACACCCUAAAUGUCUAGUGAUGUAGUAUAUAACAAAUCUUAUGCACUUUUUAAAACAUUAUUGUUGGUAACUGAGCUUUUGCCUUUCUGGAUCCAACACCCUUGGAUCAAGCUUUAAACACCAUAUAUUUGCCUUAUAUUUGUCUUUGAGCUGGUGUGAAGAAAUGUUGCCUAAAGCUGUUCCUACCCAGGGACAUAGCUUCUGGUUUCACUCCAUUCAGAACUCUUUCUAUAAGUCUCUACCGAAAGCUGCUUAAUCAAACAUCUCAAAUGUCAGAAAUGAAGUUUAAAGGAUUUUUCUAGCAAGUAGGUAUAAUCUCCUACUUAGUUUUGAUUCCCAUAAUGUAGGUAAUCUCUUUGGAGAAAAGACCUGCUUCUAGCAGGGCAAAUAUAUCCCGUAGAAUGCAUUUCCUAUUCCGGAAAGAAAAAUAGAGCAUUAAUGAAAUUUACUUUUUCAUGGAGCUUGGAAAGGUUGUAAGCUUAGGAUUUUGAUCCUAGCAGAUGUUCUUUUUUGGAUAUUAAGAAAAAAAAAAGUUGCAUUUGAUUUAGAAAUCUCAGUUAAGAGUUGCAAUGGUUGUUGGUUGUUAUAGGCAGCUAUAUUCUGAAGAUGACACACUGGUCAUCUGAAGUGUAUGACAGCCAACCCAACAGCUAACUGUCUUCAUACUUUAACCCACAAGGAUGUGGAGUUCAGAAGGGAGAGAGUUAAUAGUCAGGACCAUACUAUAUCAGUUCUAUGGUCAAGGAGCUAUUAUAUACAAUACAAAGCAUCAUCCAAGAUGCACUUCAGGUCAUUUUCUUUUAGGCUUUAGAAUAACAAUAUUUUGUUGAUAACUAUUAUAUAAGUUGAACAUCCCUAACCCCCAAAUUCAAAAUCAAACACAUUCCCAAAUCCAGACCUUUUUUUUAGUACUGACAUGACAUCACAAGUGGAAAAUUCCACACCUGACCUCCGGUGAUAAGUUGCAGUCAAAAUGUAGGCAUAUUUAAAAUGUUGUAUAAAAUUAUCUUCAAUGUGUGCAUAGGGUAUAUAGGAAACAUAAAUGAAUUUUGUAUUCCGACUUGGAUCUCAUUGCCAACAUAUCUCAUUGUAUAUAUACAAAUAUUCAAAAAUAUUUUAAAAAAUCAGAAAUCCAAAAUAUUCUAGUCCAAAGCAUUUUGGAUAGGUUAUGCUGAACCUAUAUCCCAAACCCAGGUCUCAGAUGGAUUUCUCAGUGCUGUCAUUAAACUUAGCCAGAAGCCAAGUUGCACAGCCUGUAACAAUUUAUGUCCUUCCCUAUGGUGAUUUCAUGCUGCAGAGUUUUAUAUCUUCCACUUCCUCUGCCUCAUGCCACGGGGCCAUGUAUACCAGCCCUGCUUUUCCUCGUCCACCCUGGGGGCAAACUUAGCCUCUGCACUGGUUUCCAUAGAAAUCUGCUCACCGACUGCACUUGCUUUGUGGGAAUUACUGGGAGAAGACCUGUGAUAAAAAGAUCUAAGUCUAUACUAUUUCCUGCUUUUAGCCUCUCCUUUUCCUCCUCUUCCUCCUUUAAGUUCAUCCCAACAAAGAAACCAGCCUCUUGUCAUGGUGUCAUUUCACAGUGCUGAGGCCCUCCAAGCUUUGUACCCUACCCUAUACUUACAGAAUUUUAUGUCAACAAAGACCACUCUUGCUUCCUAAGAAGAGUCUCUGUGGAUAAAUUCAGAUCCCAAGGGACAUGUUUGGUUAACAAGGGGAUUUUGCAUUGGAUGUUGCUUCAUAUUGACAUUUAUUUUUAUCAUGCAGGCUUCCAGUGGGGACCUUGCUGCCUCUGCCUCUCCUGAGAUGCACCACUACACACCCCUGCCUUCUGCUUCCAGAGAACUCACCAGUCACAGAGGUGGGACCUCAAUUUUUUAUUGCUUUCAGAGGUUG